Quercus lobata is the source of this 1592-nucleotide RNA transcript. RefSeq lists it as uncharacterized. The record is from RefSeq and is a predicted model, not a curated record. The transcript is spliced from 5 exons. NCBI's taxonomy places the organism in Eukaryota, Viridiplantae, Streptophyta, Magnoliopsida, Fagales, Fagaceae.
UUGAGCUGAAAAGACUGUUUCUCAAAAAACCAAACAAAAAAAAAAAAAACUAACUUUAAACUAGCCUGAGUUUUCAGCUAGAACUCUCUCUCUCUCUCUUUCUCUCUGAAGUUCCAAACUUUCAACACAGUUCAGAUUCGGCAGUGGCUGACGAGCCGAGCCAUGCCAGGCCCAGGUCCGCACAUGAUGUACGCCAUGGGUUCGGGCCUGGCCAUGUCGUCUCUCACCAAUGGCCGCUUCAGCCCGCACCACACUCUCACCUACACAGUCAACGCUUUCUUUGGCCCUGACAUCGGUUCCUUCUCCGAGUGGCUCAGCUCCACCAUUGGCUUCGGCCACACCUUUGCCUCAGCGCUAGCCGAUGCUAUCCACCACCCCUUUUACUAUAUCCUCAUUCUUGGCCUCCCUCUCUGCUUUCUCUACUCUUGGAUCUCCAGGGUUUUGAUCCAAAAGGGUGUUCUUGAUUCUGUCUCCGGGGUACCACUUACUAGGAAGCAAUGCUUAUUGUUGAUCGCUGCUGGUUCUUUAACACACUUUUUCCUUGAUCACUUGUUUGAGUUUCUUGUAGAUAUAGAGAUUGAAGUAGCAGUUCUACAAUGUUAAAGCAGGGUAGAGAGAUGUUUUUACCUUUUGGGUUGUCAUAUGUGGCCAUGAGGAUCAGCCAUGCUUGAUGGCACGAAUAGGAAAGCAAUUCACCAACAUAUUUGGGAAACAAGUGUAAGGAUGUUCAUUGGAGGAAUGGCAUGAUGGAAUUGGAUAAGAUUGUUAUUAGUUGCACCCCUGAGAAGUCAGAAUCAGCAUUAGCAGGGAAUGAUAUGGUUGGAAAUUCAAUACAUUGGUUGAGUUCAUUCUGCUUAGGUUCAAGUUGAGCUGCUGCUAGGGAAAGGGGACAUGCAGGGCUACGUAGGCUGAGGAAAAUGGACAUUCAAAAAUGUAUACUUGGAUAUUGAGCACUGGUUGGUGGGAGACCCGAGCACCUGUCAACCCAGAUGCUGUUGUUGUAGUUGGCUUCUUAUGCAUUUGCUUAAUUGGUGGCUUUAUUUACAUCAACAGAGUGAAGUCCGUAAAAUCCACUAGAAAUAAAUCAUAUCAAUCAAUGAAACUUAUACUGAUCAUAGCAAGCCUGUAUUGUUUAUGGUGCGCAAGCCAAAUAUACUGGGCAAAUCCUCGUCGGCCGGCUGUUGGUGAAGAGGCUGACCUUGGAGUUAUUGUAUUUUUAGCCACGUAUUUUUUUCUCCCUCACUGUUUGUGUAUUAUGUCCAUGUACCCAAAAGAUCUUAAUUCUGAGCAGAUUCCCCUUUAAUAAUAGUACCAUUAUAAACAUGAUAAAUGAACAGCACACUUCUGCCAACCUUAUGUAGUUGAACAAAUGCGUCGAGCAAAGAUUCACGUUCUGCAAUUUGUCAUGAAUCCUUCAGUUUUCAGAAUUUCUAUUCAUUAAUUUGUACUCUUCACUGUGUAUCAAGUUAUUGUUUUUCUUGAAAGAUCAUGAAAUUUUUGUAAAUUCAAAGCAGUAUAUACUUGGAUUAUAACUUGUAAGCCAUUCUUAUAAAGCUUGAUUAUUUCCCUAUUUGUGGGAACACCUUUAUUAA